This 733-nucleotide ribosomal RNA is filed under the name uncultured organism. RNAcentral's name for it is "bacterial SSU rRNA". It matches the Rfam family "Bacterial small subunit ribosomal RNA", at positions 726 to 1468 of the family's 1533-position model. The record is from RNAcentral.
ACGCUGGGCCUGGUGUGACGGUAAGACGUGAAAUCAUGGGGAGCGGCCUUGGAUUAGAAACCCCGGUAGUCACAUGCUAGUAAAUGAUGCUAACUAGGUGUUGCGGGUAAAAGACCGGCAGUGCCGGAGUUAACGCUGAUAAGUUAGCCACUUGGGGACUACGGUCGCAGAGGUUCAUACUCAAAGGAAUUGACGGGGGCCCGCACAAGCAGAGGAGCUGGUUGUGUAAUUCGAGGGUACACGAAGAACCUUACCUGGGCUUGACAUGACGGUGGUAGGGAACCGAAAGGGGACCGACCUUCGGGAGCCGUCACAGGUGCUGCAUGGCUGUCGUCAGCUCGUGUUUUGAGAUGUUAGGUUAAUUCUGGUACCGAGCGCAACCCUCAUCGCUAGUUACAAGCGUUUAGCGAGAUUCCCCGUUCAACGCGGGAGGAAGGCGGGGAUGAGGUCAAGUCAGCAUGUCCUUUAUGUCCAGGGCUCCACACACGUUCCAAUGGCCGCUACAAUGGGUCGUCAACCCGCGAGGGGGAGCCAAUCCACCAAAUCCGGUCACAGUUGGAAUUGCAGGAUGCAACCCGCCUGCAUGAAGUCGGAGUUCAUAGUACCCGCAGGUCAGCUAUACUGCGGUGAAUACCUUCCCGGGCCUGGUACACACCGCCCGUCACGUCAUGGGAGCUGGUCAUACCCGAAGUCGGUGAGCCAACCGCAAGGAGGCAGCCGCCUAAGGCAGGGC